Molecule: RNA transcript, 3546 nt
Organism: Sinocyclocheilus grahami
Lineage: Eukaryota; Metazoa; Chordata; Actinopteri; Cypriniformes; Cyprinidae
Gene name: lysophosphatidic acid receptor 6-like
Exons: 2
Source: RefSeq, a predicted model, not a curated record
CAGCACAGCUGCCUCUCUCGCCUCUUCAAUGCUCACAGCACAGAAUGCCCCUGAGGCUACUGCUGACAGAGACAACAAGACAGAGCAGCAAGGAAGAGGGUGGGCCAGGAAACAGACCGUUGGAUGAAGCAAGUCUGACUUGCUUUUGCACUGUCACACUCAGAGAGAGCUGCAUGCUGUCUACAGGUGCUCUACGAUCACUGGACAAUCUGUGGGACUGAGAACAAAGAAGGCUAAUUUAAAGAAUACUUCAAGGGGAAGAAUUUGGGAUUGCUUUAAUGAGUAUUUUGGACAAAGACAUUUGUUUUUCCUCAAUGGGAUAUACUAGGAGUGGAUUCUAACAGAACUACUCCUUUUGACUGCUUUUGGAUGUUAUUUCUGAAGUCGAACCAGAGGAAAGGACUGUGUGAAUUGAAACUUUGGAGUGAGUAGCUUCUAAGCUUGGGGCAACAAUCUUGUGGAGUGGCUAGGUAAAGGACAGGAGGAAGGGGGAGGGGAAGAGGUAGUCGGGGUUUGGCUCCAGUCUCUGGGGUGAAAUGCCUUCAACAUGAGGCUUUGUUGAAGAAUGCCACAAAGGAGUGUUUGAUCGCUUCAGUUUUAAACUGCCAACAGAAAAAAAAAAACAUUAAAGAGAUCUACGUGCCCUUGAAGGAAAGUCCAUCUUGUGGUUGGAAGCAAUCUGUCUGCUUCACAUGCUUUGUUUUGCCCUGUUGAAUUGUGAAUUGAGGAAAAUCAUUUUAUUGUGUAGUCUUGCCAAACUACCACCCCAUAGUGCUCUUUUGUUUCUUAUUGAGAUGUACAACACCACUGUUCAGAUGGAGGCUUUGACCCAGAUAUGGGCUGGCAGUGCCAGCAACAAAAAUUCCUCUCUGCAGCUACACAACAACACCCACUGCCCAAAGAAUGACAACUUCAAAUAUCCACUCUACAGCAUAGUGUUUAGCAUUGUCUUCAUGGUGGGACUCAUCACCAAUGUUGCAGCCAUGUACAUUUUUACAUGUUCACUAAAACUGCGGAAUGAGACCACCACAUAUAUGAUGAAUCUUGUGGUUUCUGACUUAUUAUUUGUGCUCACACUCCCUUUGAGGGUGUUUUACUUCAUCCAGCAGAACUGGCCAUUCGGCAGCCUGCUCUGCCAGCUCUCUGUCUCACUCUUUUACACCAACAUGUAUGGGAGCAUCCUGUUUCUAACAUGCAUCAGCGUGGACCGCUUCCUCGCCAUCGUACACCCCUUCCGUUCAAGGGGUCUCCGGACCAAACGCAAUGCCAAAAUUGUAUGUGCUGCUGUUUGGGUUCUGGUGCUUUCUGGAAGUCUUCCGACAGGAUUCAUGCUGAACAGUACUAACAAGCAAAAUAACAACACGAUAGCCUGCUUUGAGAACUUCUCCUCAAAUCAGUGGAAGAGUCAUCUCUCAAAGGUGGUGAUCUUCAUAGAAACAGUGGGGUUCCUUAUCCCUUUGAUACUGAACGUGGUUUGCUCCGCUAUGGUGCUUCAAACUUUGAGGAGGCCACAGACUGUUAGUCGGGGAGGGAAGCUGAACAAAAAAAAGAUCUUGAGGAUGAUUAUCGUCCACCUCUCCAUCUUCUGCUUUUGUUUCAUCCCCUACAACGUCAACCUGGUCUUCUACUCACUGGUGCGGACAAAAAUCUUGGAGGGCUGCGCAGUAGAAUCAGUGGUUCGGACAAUCUAUCCGAUCGCUUUGUGUAUUGCUGUGUCCAACUGCUGUUUUGACCCCAUCGUCUACUAUUUCACCUCAGAGACAAUACAAAACUCCAUUAAGAGGAAAUCUCAGAUGAACCAUUCCUUUGAUGUCAAGUUCUCUGAGGCUUUGCAGUCAGAAACGAGCUCUUCUCUUCAGUUCAGCCUGAGGUCCAUAAAGAACAAGAUGUUCCACAAUGAGUCUAAUGUAUAAGGACAAGUAUUGGACAAAUGGAUGUAAAGAAACUGAAUGCACAAAAAGCACUCUGCAGUGAAUGAAAUGUGGCAUAAACAUGCAAAUAUGCCCUAAUUUGGUUUGUUAAUAUCUCUCAGGGCAGUAAGUAAACUACGUCCUUUUAGAGGGAUUUACCUCCCUCUUAAAGUCAUCCUUCAGCCCUGUACUGGGGGCACACUUGUUCUCAAUGGAAUUACAUUUGGAAUACUUAACUGUGCAGUAAGAAUAAUACAAAUAUACUGUAAAUCAACUGGAACUUGAUUAAACUAGACCAGAACCUCUAACUAUAUGUGAAUGUACUUACAUUUCCAGAAUGCAGCUUGUCAUUCUGGCACUGAGGAUGGAGUUGGUGUGCUUUUGAUAAAUACCGGAUUAGAUCUCCUAACUUCAAACAAGCGUUACACACCAAUUUUUUCCCCACCACUGCUCAGCCCUGCACAAAUACAACAUCCGAAACCCAGCACGCCACCGUAAGCUCCACUUCAAAGCUUCAGAAACCUCAACACAGGCUUGUUUACUUUUUCUGCACCUUUGCCUGGUUCGUUUCCUCAUGUUGUGAGAGGGAGGGGUGCAUGGUCAGAGAACUGAACACAGUUUUAACUAGAUUAAGACUACACAUAUUAUUUAGUCUGUUUAGUCAGUCUGUUAGAUUCUGUUCUAUAUGGAUUUUGUAAUAAUUGAUAAAAAUGUUUAUCUUCCAUUUAAAGGAAAAGUUCACUCCAAAAUUUAAUUUCUGUCAUUUAGUCAACCCAAUAUUAAACUUUGGAAUGUUUAUGCUGUUUUUCCCCAUACAGUGAGGAUGAGGGCAACCAAAAAGAGUAAUUAUAUGAAUGUAUAUCUGCAUAUGUAUGUAUAUAUAUGAAAUAGAAAUAUGAGGAUGUGGGAUGUGUUUGUGGAUUCAUUUUAUACAGCUUAAACAUUCUAAAGAUAUAUAUCUACAAUAAUCUCAUCAAGUUUGGUCAGAGAUUUUGGGGCAAUCUUUGACAAUAAGAUGACCCUCAAAGACCACACUGCAAGGACACCACGAUCAUGCAGGUUUGAAUUGCACAAGGUUAAGAUACUGAUGUUUGUAUAUAGAACAGCUGCAGUCUCCGCACCCAUCUACGUACCACUCAGCCUUAUGAGUACUUCCCCUUCAGAAGGCUUACACCAGUAAAUGAGUGAUGCCUCAUGGUACCAUUAGACAGGCACAAAAUCAAUCAACCAGAACAUUUUUGUUCGCUGUUUCUUGUUGGUGGAAUUAUCUACCCAACCCAAUCUGGGACAGAAAAUCCCUGACAAUAUUAAAUAAACAUCUAUUCUGUUAGAAAAAAAAAAAUCUUCCUCUAUGCUUUCACUAUACUUUAAUUCUAAACGAUGUCUGAAACUUUGUAUCACUAGCACUUCUCUUGUUUACUGCCUGACUAUGAUGAAUCGCUUGCCGUAUUCCUCAUUUACAAGUUGCUUUGAAUAAAAAAUCUGCAAAACGAAUAAACGUAAAUAUAAAUACAUAUUAUAUAUACUUUUGCAUUAUAUUCCUCAUAGUCUUCUGAAGUUGUACAAUAGCUUGUGUCAGGGAACAAAUUCAUAUCAAUAUUCAGUGAAUGUACGAGGCAUGUUGAUUCUCCAUUAU